GACGAACGCUGGCGGCGUGCUUAACACAUGCAAGUCGAGCGGUAAGGCCCUUUCGGGGGUACACGAGCGGCGAACGGGUGAGUAACACGUGGGUGACCUGCCCUUAGCUCUGGGAUAAGCCUGGGAAACUGGGUCUAAUACCGGAUAUGACCUCAUGACUCAUGUUGUGGGGUGGAAAGCCUUGUGCGGCUAGGGAUGGGCCCGCGGCCUAUCAGCUUGUUGGUGGGGUAAUUGCCUACCAAGGCGACGACGGGUAGCCGGCCUGAGAGGGCGACCGGCCACACUGGGACUGAGACACGGCCCAGACUCCUACGGGAGGGCAGCAGUGGGGAAUCUUGCGCAAUGGGCGAAAGCCUGACGCAGCGACGCCGCGUGAGGGAUGACGGCCUCGG
Molecule: ribosomal RNA, 392 nt
Filed under: uncultured bacterium
Lineage: Bacteria
Description: bacterial SSU rRNA
Rfam family: Bacterial small subunit ribosomal RNA
Source: RNAcentral